Molecule: non-coding RNA, 531 nt
Organism: Heterocephalus glaber (naked mole-rat)
Lineage: Eukaryota; Metazoa; Chordata; Mammalia; Rodentia; Bathyergidae
Source: RefSeq, a predicted model, not a curated record
CUGAGGUAGGCAUUGGAGUUAACAGUGGCUUUCUUUUCUACCUACUCUGGUGGAAGACUGAGCCUCUGAAAGCAACUCAUUCCUGUGAGAGGAGAGAGGUAACCUUCACUGAUUUUGUCUGUGCUUCUUUGGCUAGGCAGUGAAGUGAGUCCUGGGGAUGAGUGAACAACAACGCCCUGAAAUGGGACACCUGGGGCUGUCUGCUUGGUAGGAUCUAGUCCUCUCUACUGGUGUCAUGCCCUAGGGCUUCAAAGGAAUGUGAUCCUGAGGCUAACUCAGCCAACACCACCAAGGACAAGGUCAUCCUGGCUGAAACCACUGCUGUGGACUCAUCCCAGCUUUUAAUUGUGUGAUGAAUGCAAAAUGUAUGCAGAUCAUGAUCCCCUGCUUUUGUGACAUAAAUGAGGGACUCUGAUGUGGCCAUGAGGGACACAAAAAUCUUCAUGAGCAAUAUUUUUCUUAAAAUUUUGUUAUUCAAACUGAGUUCCAUAAUGUUGCUCUAUACUAUAUUCAGCAAAAUGUUACUUCAUA